UGGGGGGAUAUUGCACAAUGGGGGAAACCCUGAUGCAGCAACGCCGCGUGAGGGAUGAAGGUUUUCGGAUUGUAAACCUCUGUCCUUAGUGAAGAAUUUUUGACGGUAACUAAGGAGGAAGCUCCGGCUAACUACGUGCCAGCAGCCGCGGUAAUACGUAGGGAGCAAGCGUUGUCCGGAUUUAUUGGGUGUAAAGGGUGCGUAGGCGGCUUUGUAAGUCAGACGUGUAAUGCAGGGGCUUAACCUCUGAACUGCGUUUGAAACUGCUUAGCUUGAGUGGAGUAGAGGCAGAUGGAAUUUCCAGUGUAGCGGUGAAAUGCGUAGAUAUUGGAAGGAACACCAGUGGCGAAGGCGAUCUGCUGGGCUCUAACUGACGCUGAGGCACGAAAGCAUGGGGAGCAAACAGGAUUAGAUACCCUGGUAGU
Molecule: ribosomal RNA, 425 nt
Filed under: uncultured Clostridium sp.
Lineage: Bacteria; Bacillati; Bacillota; Clostridia; Eubacteriales; Clostridiaceae
Description: bacterial SSU rRNA
Rfam family: Bacterial small subunit ribosomal RNA
Source: RNAcentral